CACGUAGGGUGCGAGCGUUGUCCGGAAUUAUUGGCGUAAGAGCUCGUAGGCGGUGUGUCGCGUCGGCCGUGAAACCUGCAGCUUAACUGUGGCUUGCGUCGAUACGCAUCGACUGAGUCGCAGGGAGACUGAUCUGUGUAGCGUGAACUGCGCAGAUAUCAGAGACACCGUGCGAGCGUCUCUGCGAUACUGACGCUGAGA
This 201-nucleotide ribosomal RNA is filed under the name uncultured bacterium. Its description in RNAcentral is "partial 16S ribosomal RNA". It matches the Rfam family "Bacterial small subunit ribosomal RNA", at positions 524 to 751 of the family's 1533-position model. The record is from RNAcentral.